GAUGAACGCUGGCGGCGUGCUUAACACAUGCAAGUCGAACGGGGAUAAGGGGAGCUUGCUUUCCUUAUCUUAGUGGCGGACGGGUGAGUAACGCGUGGAUAACCUGGCCCAUACAGGGGGAUAGCAGCUGGAAACGGCUGGUAAUACCGCAUAAGCGCACGGUACGGCAUCGUACAGUGUGAAAAACUCCGGUGGUAUGGGAUGGGUCCGCGUCUGAUUAGGCAGUUGGCGGGGUAAAGGCCCACCAAACCGACGAUCAGUAGCCGGCCUGAGAGGGUGGGCGGCCACAUUGGGACUGAGACACGGCCCAA
This 311-nucleotide ribosomal RNA is filed under the name uncultured bacterium. RNAcentral describes it as "bacterial SSU rRNA". It matches the Rfam family "Bacterial small subunit ribosomal RNA", at positions 28 to 334 of the family's 1533-position model. The record is from RNAcentral.